Molecule: ribosomal RNA, 1437 nt
Filed under: Halomonas sp. X24
Lineage: Bacteria; Pseudomonadati; Pseudomonadota; Gammaproteobacteria; Oceanospirillales; Halomonadaceae
Description: bacterial SSU rRNA
Rfam family: Bacterial small subunit ribosomal RNA
Source: RNAcentral
GGAUUGCGGCAGCUACCAUGCAGUCGAGCGGAACGAUGGAAGCUUGCUUCCAGGCGUCGAGCGGCGGACGGGUGAGUAAUGCAUAGGAAUCUGCCCGAUAGUGGGGGAUAACCUGGGGAAACCCAGGCUAAUACCGCAUACGUCCUACGGGAGAAAGCAGGGGAUCUUCGGACCUUGCGCUAUCGGAUGAGCCUAUGUCGGAUUAGCUAGUUGGUGAGGUAACGGCUCACCAAGGCCGCGAUCCGUAGCUGGUCUGAGAGGAUGAUCAGCCACAUCGGGACUGAGACACGGCCCGAACUCCUACGGGAGGCAGCAGUGGGGAAUAUUGGACAAUGGGCGAAAGCCUGAUCCAGCCAUGCCGCGUGUGUGAAGAAGGCUUUCGGGUUGUAAAGCACUUUCAGUGGGGAAGAAAUCCUCGGGGCCAAUACCCUCGAGGGAGGACAUCACCCACAGAAGAAGCACCGGCUAACUCCGUGCCAGCAGCCGCGGUAAUACGGAGGGUGCGAGCGUUAAUCGGAAUUACUGGGCGUAAAGCGCGCGUAGGCGGCGUGAUAAGCCGGUUGUGAAAGCCCCGGGCUCAACCUGGGAACGGCAUCCGGAACUGUCAGGCUAGAGUGCAGGAGAGGAAGGUAGAAUUCCCGGUGUAGCGGUGAAAUGCGUAGAGAUCGGGAGGAAUACCAGUGGCGAAGGCGGCCUUCUGGACUGACACUGACGCUGAGGUGCGAAAGCGUGGGUAGCAAACAGGAUUAGAUACCCUGGUAGUCCACGCCGUAAACGAUGUCGACUAGCCGUUGGGGUCCUUGUGACCUUUGUGGCGCAGUUAACGCGAUAAGUCGACCGCCUGGGGAGUACGGCCGCAAGGUUAAAACUCAAAUGAAUUGACGGGGGCCCGCACAAGCGGUGGAGCAUGUGGUUUAAUUCGAUGCAACGCGAAGAACCUUACCUACUCUUGACAUCGUGCGAACUUUCCAGAGAUGGAUUGGUGCCUUCGGGAACGCACAGACAGGUGCUGCAUGGCCGUCGUCAGCUCGUGUUGUGAAAUGUUGGGUUAAGUCCCGUAACGAGCGCAACCCUUGUCCCUAUUUGCCAGCGAUUCGGUCGGGAACUCUAGGGAGACUGCCGGUGACAAACCGGAGGAAGGUGGGGACGACGUCAGGUCAUCAUGGCCCUUACGAGUAGGGCUACACACGUGCUACAAUGGCCGGUACAAAGGGUUGCGAAGCCGCGAGGUGGAGCUAAUCCCGAAAAGCCGGUCUCAGUCCGGAUCGGAGUCUGCAACUCGACUCCGUGAAGUCGGAAUCGCUAGUAAUCGUGAAUCAGAAUGUCACGGUGAAUACGUUCCCGGGCCUUGUACACACCGCCCGUCACACCAUGGGAGUGGACUGCACCAGAAGUGGUUAGCCUAACUUCGGAGGGCGAUCACCACGGUGUAUGUCG